GUCCAGUCAUAGCAAGGAUUGACAGACUGAGAGCUCUUUCUUGAUUCUAUGGGUGGUGGUGCAUGGCCAUUCUUAGUUGGUGGAGUGAUUGGUCUGUUUAAUUCCUUUAAUGAACGAAACCUCAGCCUGCUAACUAGCUAUGCAGAGCCAUCCCUCCGCAGCUAGCUUCUUAGAGGGACUAUCGCCAUUUAGUCGACGGAAGUUUGACGCAAUAACAGGUCUGUGAUGCCCUUAGAUGUU
Molecule: ribosomal RNA, 240 nt
Filed under: Triticum dicoccoides
Lineage: Eukaryota; Viridiplantae; Streptophyta; Magnoliopsida; Poales; Poaceae
Description: rRNA SSU_rRNA_eukarya
Rfam family: Eukaryotic small subunit ribosomal RNA
Source: RNAcentral